Molecule: ribosomal RNA, 440 nt
Filed under: uncultured bacterium
Lineage: Bacteria
Description: partial 16S ribosomal RNA
Rfam family: Bacterial small subunit ribosomal RNA
Source: RNAcentral
CCUACGGGGGGCAGCAGUGGGGAAUAUUGCACAAUGGGGGAAACCCUGAUGCAGCGACGCCGCGUGAGCGAUGAAGUAUUUCGGUAUGUAAAGCUCUAUCAGCAGGGAAGAAAAUGACGGUACCUGACUAAGAAGCCCCGGCUAACUACGUGCCAGCAGACGCGGUAAUACGUAGGGGGCAAGCGUUAUCCGGAUUUACUGGGUGUAAAGGGAGCGUAGACGGCUGUGCAAGCCAGAUGUGAAAGGCCGGGGCUCAACCCCGGGACUGCAUUUGGGACUGUGUGGCUGGAGUGUCGGUGAGGCAGGCGGAAUUCGUGGUGUAGCGGUGAAAUGCGUAGAUAUUAGGAGGAACACCAGUGGCGAAGGCGGCCCGCUGGACGAUGACUGACGUUGAGGCUCGAAAGCGUGGGGAGCAAACAGGAUUAGAUACCCCUGUAGUC